Molecule: transfer RNA, 80 nt
Filed under: Strongylocentrotus purpuratus (purple sea urchin)
Lineage: Eukaryota; Metazoa; Echinodermata; Echinoidea; Camarodonta; Strongylocentrotidae
Description: tRNA-Arg (CCT) (tRNA-Arg-CCT-12-1)
Rfam family: tRNA (bases 1-71)
About the family: Transfer RNA (tRNA) molecules are approximately 80 nucleotides in length. Their secondary structure includes four short double-helical elements and three loops (D, anti-codon, and T loops).
Source: RNAcentral
GCCUCCGUGGCCUAAUGGAUAAGGCAUCGGUCUCCUAAACCGGGGAUUGUGGGUUCGAGUCCCACGGGGCACCGGAGGUG